Long non-coding RNA from Engraulis encrasicolus (European anchovy), 1228 nucleotides. RefSeq lists it as uncharacterized. The transcript has 5 exons. Lineage: Eukaryota; Metazoa; Chordata; Actinopteri; Clupeiformes; Engraulidae. The record is from RefSeq and is a predicted model, not a curated record.
AAUCCCAGUAGUAUCUAGUGAAACACACAUGCAAACGCCCUUCUGUCCCUCAUUCCCUCAAACUCGAUCUUCUACAUUUGUUGUGUAAAAAGGACAUAGCAAGUUUUUUGUAUCAAUGAUCACUUUAGGAUAUUCCAGUGCAUUUACAUUCAAUAUAUACUGUACCUUGAGUGAGGUAGAAAUGCAUAUUGUUGCAAAUAUAAAUACUGUUAAUUUGUUAUUUUUUGUAAUUAAUCAUUUACUGAAUUUCUUUGUAGAAUAUGUUACUAUUAUUUGGGUUUUUGUUCUCUGCAUAACUGUCUCUUUCACCUAUAUUAAUUCCUCAGCAUUCAAGAUGUUUGUAGGGUCCUCACCUCAGCUACCUCUCACAAGGUGCCCCUGAAAAAGAAAUUCAAGACGUUUGGGUCCUCAGCUCAACUGACCAAGACCUUUGCUCAUUGAAGGCAUGAAGUAAUUUGUGAUGCCCCCACGAUUGCAGUUUUUAAAUCCAGAUGGCUUGCUCUUUUUAACAUGUGCGAGAGCUGGAUGGUCUUUCAACAACACUGCUCCGGGUCUUCAGCAAGAAAGGUGCUUCUCAUGCAAGGAAGAUACAGAGGAUCCUGGUGCCCAUGACUCAGGUAAAACAUGCACACUGCCAUGCAUCACAGUAAUGCUAAAAUUUCAAGAUCUAAUGUAAUGGGGAGAAGUAGGGUGUCUUGGAUCAUAUUGCAUUUCUCCCACUAAUUUCAAUCCUUCAGCCAGUUUUGAACUCAUUGUCUUCACCUCAGUUCUAACUACAGCUGGCUUUACACACAGCAGUCCUGGGCAAUGAUAUAACAGUCUUUUGCAGACUGACAACAUUGAUGUGAAGAGGGAGUGCAUGCUGAGGAGCUGACGGUCUACCUGAAUGAAGAGCCAGACAAAGUGGAUGUUGAUCUGGACGGUCCAGCUGAAACGUAUUGUCUUCGUGUGCGUGUGAUCGGCAGAGAGUCCUCAACGACAUUGGUAACGUACCUGUGGCCAUUGCAGUGUUUGUUUUGGUUUAUGCUCUUAAUCUCUGUUACCUUCCAGAAUGGAAGUACACUUUCAAAUUUCUGUUUCAUUCUAACCGUCUGUUUCAUCAGUUUUUGCACUGCUUUUAAAUGUACACUGUGUAAGAUUCUUAGUUGUUUAUUUCCAGAAUUCAUGCUACCCAUUCACUAAUGUUACCUUUUUCAUGAAUACUUAGCACCACCAUUAGGGUGCAUCA